CGAUGGUGAACUCGCCCCCUAAUUCUAGUGUGAGGUAUAGUGAUAUACAAUGUGAGGCAAGCUUUGUACUGAUGGUGAACUCGCCCCCUAAUUCUAGUGUGAGGUAUAGUGAUAUACAAUGUGAGGUGAGCUUUGUACCGAUGGUGAACUCGCCCCCUAAUUCUAG
Molecule: long non-coding RNA, 166 nt
Organism: Pecten maximus
Lineage: Eukaryota; Metazoa; Mollusca; Bivalvia; Pectinida; Pectinidae
Exons: 3
Source: RefSeq, a predicted model, not a curated record